Molecule: ribosomal RNA, 467 nt
Filed under: uncultured bacterium
Lineage: Bacteria
Description: partial 16S ribosomal RNA
Rfam family: Bacterial small subunit ribosomal RNA
Source: RNAcentral
GACGAACGCUGGCGGCGUGCUUAACACAUGCAAGUCGAACGGCAACGCCCUGCUUUUGUGGGGUGCUCGAGUGGCGAACGCGUGAGUAACACGUGAGUAACCUGCCCUUGACUUUGGGAUAACUUCAGGAAACUGGGGCUAAUACAGGAUAGGAGCUCCUGCUGCGUGGUGGGGGUUGGAACGUUUCGGCGGUUGGGGAUGGACUCGCGGCUUAUCAGCUUGUUGGUGGGGUAGUGGCUUACCAAGGCUUUGACGGGUAGCCGGCCUGAGAGGGUGACAGGCCACAGUGGCACUGGGGUGCGGCCCAGGCGCCUACGGGAGGCAGGAGUGGGGAAUAGUGCACAAUGUGCGGAAGCCGGGUGGAGCAACGCCGCGUGCGGGAGGACGGCUGUCGGGUUGGAAACCGCUUUCGCUUGUGACGAGGCGUGAGUGACGGUAAUGGGGAAUGAAGAACCGCCUAACUACGU